This is a small RNA of Frankia sp., 67 nucleotides long. It matches the Rfam family "Transposase-2 RNA". NCBI's taxonomy places the organism in Bacteria, Bacillati, Actinomycetota, Actinomycetes, Frankiales, Frankiaceae. The record is from Rfam.
GAAACGGGAACCCGGCACGGCUCCGGCCGGUCAGACCGGGAGUGCCUCACCGCAAGGUGAGGCGGCA